AUGGUUCCUUAGAACAUACUAUCCUUCUUGGAUAACUGUGGUAAUUCUAGAGCUAAUACAUGCACCAGAGCUCCGACCCUUGUGGUACGAGCGCUUUUAUUAGACCAAGACCAAUCGGAGCUUCGGCUCUGUCAGUCUGUGGUGACUCUGGAUAACUUUUAGUGGAUCGCAUGGUCAUCGUGCCGGCGACUCCUCUUUCAAAUGUCUGCCUUAUCAACUUUCGAUGGUAGGUUAAUUGCCUACCAUGGUUGUAACGGGUGACGGGGAAUCAGGGUUCGAUUCCGGAGAGGGAGCCUGAGAAACGGCUACCACAUCCAAGGAAGGCAGCAGGCACGCAAAUUACCCACUCCCAGUACGGGGAGGUAGUGACGAAAAAUAACAAUGCGGGACUCUUACGAGGCCCCGUAAUUGGAAUGAGUCCACUUUAAAUCCUUUAACGAGGACCUAUUGGAGGGCAAGUCUGGUGCCAGCAGCCGCGGUAAUUCCAGCUCCAAUAGCGUAUACUAAAGUUGUUGCGGUUAAAAAGCUCGUAGUUGGAUGUCAGUCGCGGGCGAGUGGUCCACUGUUACGGUGGUUUACUGCUCGUCCCGUGACCUACUGGCCGGCCUCCCCCGCUAUGCUCUUCACCGGGUGUGGCGGGUGGCCGGAAAGUUUACUUUGAAAAAAUUAGAGUGCUCUAAGCAGGUGCUUGCCGCCUGAAUAACACAGCAUGGAAUAAUAGAAUAGGACCUCGGUUCUAUUUUGUUGGUUUUCGGAAUUCCGAGGUAAUGAUUAAUAGGGACAGACGGGGGCAUUCGUAUUGCGGCGCUAGAGGUGAAAUUCUUGGACCGUCGCAAGACGAACUAGUGCGAAAGCAUUUGCCAAGAAUGUUUUCAUUAAUC
RNAcentral lists this ribosomal RNA (881 nucleotides) under Vietnamorpha spiralis. Its description in RNAcentral is "SSU rRNA". It matches the Rfam family "Eukaryotic small subunit ribosomal RNA", at positions 112 to 978 of the family's 1831-position model. Lineage: Eukaryota; Metazoa; Arthropoda; Diplopoda; Polydesmida; Paradoxosomatidae. The record is from RNAcentral.